CGGGCGACGCGCCGGUCUAAGUCCCUUGGAACGGAGCGUCACAGAGGGUGAGAAUCCCGUAUGUGACCGGUGACCGCGCCCAUGUGAAACCCCGUUCGACGAGUCGAGUUGUUUGGGAAUGCAGCUCAAAAUGGGUGGUAAAUUUCAUCUAAAGCUAAAUACCGGCCAGAGACCGAUAGCGCACAAGUAGAGUGAUCGAAAGAUGAAAAGCACUUUGGAAAGAGAGUCAAAAAGUACGUGAAAUUGUUGAAAGGGAAGCGCUUGCAACCAGACCUGCCCGCGGGUGAUCAACCGUCCUUCUGGGCGGUGCACUCGCCCGCGAUCAGGCCAGCAUCGGUUCGGGCGGUCGGAUAAAGGCCUUGGGAACGUAGCUCCUCUCGGGGAGUGUUAUAGCCCUCGGUGCAAUGCGGCCUGCCCGGACCGAGGACCGCGCUUCGGCUAGGAUGCUGGCGUAAUGGUUGUAAGCGGCCCGUCUUGAAACACGGACCAAGGAGUCGACCAACUAUGCGAGUGUUUGGGUGUCAAACCCACACGCGCAAUGAAAGUGAACGGAGGUGGGAACCCCUUCCGGGGCGCACCAUCGACCGAUCCAGAUGUCUUCGGAUGGAUUUGAGUACGAGCAUAGCUGGUCGGACCCGAAAGAUGAUGAACUAUGCCUGAAUAGGGUGAAGCCAGAGGAAACUCUGGUGGAGGCUCGCAGCGGUUCUGACGUGCAAAUCGAUCGUCAAAUUUGGGCAUAGGGGCGAAAGACUAAUCGAAUCAUC
Molecule: ribosomal RNA, 764 nt
Filed under: Calogaya arnoldii
Lineage: Eukaryota; Fungi; Ascomycota; Lecanoromycetes; Teloschistales; Teloschistaceae
Description: LSU rRNA
Rfam family: Eukaryotic large subunit ribosomal RNA
Source: RNAcentral